UUAUCCGGAAUCAUUGGGCGUAAAGCGCCUGUAGGUUGUUUAAUAAGUCUGUUGUUAAAGACUAGGGCUCAACCCUAGAAAAGCAAUGGAAACUACUAGACUAGAGUAUGGCAGGGGUAGAGGGAAUUUCUAGUGUAGCGGUGAAAUGCGUAGAUAUUAGAAAGAACACCGGUGGCGAAAGCGCUCUACUGGACCAUUACUGACACUCAGAGGCGAAAGCUAGGGUAGCAAAAGGGAUUAGAUACCCCUGUAGUCCUAGCCGUAAACGAUGGAUACUAGAUGUUGUGCAUAACGUACAGUAUCGUAGCUAACGCGUUAAGUAUCCCGCCUGGGGAGUACGCUCGCAAGGGUGAAACUCAAAGGAAUUGACGGGGGCCCGCACAAGCGGUGGAGCAUGUGGUUUAAUUCGAUGCAACGCGAAGAACCUUACCAGGGCUUGACAUACUACAAAUUCUUUUGAGAAAAAGAAGUGCCUUCGGGAAUGUAGAUACAGGUGGUGCAUGGCUGUCGUCAGCUCGUGUCGUGAGAUGUUGGGUUAAGUCCCGCAACGAGCGCAACCCUUAUUUUUAGUUACUAAUUCGUUAGGUUCUCUAGAAAGACUGCCGGUGACAAACCGGAGGAAGGUGAGGAUGACGUCAAGUCAGCAUGCCCCUUAUGUCCUGGGCUACACACGUGCUACAAUGGUUAAGACAAAGAGUCGCGAGCUCGUGAGAGUCAGCUAAUCUCAUAAACUUAGCCUAAGUUCAGAUUGUAGGCUGCAA
This 761-nucleotide ribosomal RNA is filed under the name uncultured marine haptophyte. RNAcentral's name for it is "bacterial SSU rRNA". It matches the Rfam family "Bacterial small subunit ribosomal RNA", at positions 541 to 1310 of the family's 1533-position model. The record is from RNAcentral. Lineage: Eukaryota; Haptophyta.